CCUACGGGGGGCUGCAGUGGGGAAUAUUGCACAAUGGGGGAAACCCUGAUGCAGCGACGCCGCGUGAGUGAAGAAGUAUUUCGGUAUGUAAAGCUCUAUCAGCAGGGAAGAAAUAAAGUCCUUCGGACUUUGGACGGUACCUGACUAAGCAGACCCGGCGAACUACGUGCCAGCAGCCGAGGUAAUACGUAGGGGGCAAGCGUUAGCCGGAUUUACGUGGGGUAGAGGGAGCGUAGACGGCAGCGCAAGUCUGGAGUGAAAUCCCAUGGCUUAACCAUGGAACUGCUUAGGAAACUGUGCAGCUGGAGUGCAGGAGAGGGAAGCGGAAUUCCGAGUGUAGCAGUGAAAUGCGUAGAUAUUAGGAGGAACACCAGUGGCGAAGGCGGCUUACUGGACUGUAACUGACGUUGAGGCUCGAAAGCGUGGGGAGCAAACAGGAUUAGAUACCCUAGUAGUC
RNAcentral lists this ribosomal RNA (457 nucleotides) under uncultured bacterium. RNAcentral describes it as "partial 16S ribosomal RNA". It matches the Rfam family "Bacterial small subunit ribosomal RNA", at positions 338 to 795 of the family's 1533-position model. The record is from RNAcentral.